CUAGUACUCCCUCCGUCCCAAAAUUCUUGUCUUAGAUUUGUCUGGAUAUGGAUGUAUCUAAUACUAAAACAUGACUUGAUACAUCCGUAUUUGAACAAAUCUAGGACAAGAAUUUCGGGACGGAGGGAGUACUAG
Non-coding RNA from Triticum aestivum (bread wheat), 135 nucleotides. The record is from Rfam. NCBI's taxonomy places the organism in Eukaryota, Viridiplantae, Streptophyta, Magnoliopsida, Poales, Poaceae.